CAUGUACUCCCUGCAUCCGGAAAUACUUGUUAGAGAAAUGGAUGUAUCUAGACGCAUUUUAGUUCUAGAUACAUCCAUUUUUACCUAUUUCUCCAACAAGUAUUUUCGGACGGAGGGAGUAGAUA
Non-coding RNA from Triticum aestivum (bread wheat), 125 nucleotides. NCBI's taxonomy places the organism in Eukaryota, Viridiplantae, Streptophyta, Magnoliopsida, Poales, Poaceae. The record is from Rfam.